GUGUUACGAAGAAUUCAGUGACCAUGCGAAUUCAUUGUGCAUGUCGAAAGUGCGCAUGCGCCGCUUUCUAAAAUUCCUUUCUGGUCAACGGGAGCGUGUGAUAUCUCGUGCACUUGUGGUAUUUGCGGUACAUGGAUAACCUUUUUUACAGCAGCCGCAAAAAGGAAAUAUAUUCUGUUGGUUAACAUACUUUGUGUUUCCUGCCAACUUCCUUUCCUCCAAGGAUAUGCUCCUGUGACCCUGUUGAUGUUGCAGUCUCUGCUGGGAGGUCGAUCAUACUAGUUUGCAUAAAUGGCCGGUAUGAUCUGAAUGUUCCUGUGCUGACAUGCAAUCUUUGCAAUAACCAUUGGGCUCCGAAGUCAAUGACUUUGUAAAGAGUGGGUACUGGCCAGCCACCAUGCAAGCACAGACUUUGUUCCAUCAAGACCUGUUUCGUUUGAGGCAAUGAAGACAACUGCUCCAGGGUUGUCUAGACAAGCCUUCACGGCAAUGCUGGACCAGGGAACAAAGCACUUUGGAAGGGUGGGACCAUAAGGGGGCCGGUGCAUAGAGGAUCGGGCGGCAGUCGAAGCGGGGGCCUAGACAACCCGAUCCCUGGACACGGAA
Molecule: long non-coding RNA, 606 nt
Organism: Esox lucius (northern pike)
Lineage: Eukaryota; Metazoa; Chordata; Actinopteri; Esociformes; Esocidae
Exons: 3
Source: RefSeq, a predicted model, not a curated record